UCCGUUAUGGUGUAAUGGUUAACAUUAUCGCCUCUCAUAUGUGUCUAGCCAAGUCACUAUGGACGCGAUAGCUCAGGGUUCGAUUCCCUGUAACGGAA
This is a non-coding RNA of Marasmius fiardii PR-910, 98 nucleotides long. The record is from the annotation of a GenBank genome assembly. NCBI's taxonomy places the organism in Eukaryota, Fungi, Basidiomycota, Agaricomycetes, Agaricales, Marasmiaceae.